This 167-nucleotide ribosomal RNA is filed under the name Obesumbacterium proteus. RNAcentral describes it as "partial 16S ribosomal RNA". It matches the Rfam family "Bacterial small subunit ribosomal RNA", at positions 1 to 160 of the family's 1533-position model. The record is from RNAcentral. Lineage: Bacteria; Pseudomonadati; Pseudomonadota; Gammaproteobacteria; Enterobacterales; Hafniaceae.
UUAAUUGAAGAGUUUGAUCAUGGCUCAGAUUGAACGCUGGCGGCAGGCCUAACACAUGCAAGUCGAGCGGUAGCACAAGAGAGCUUGCUCUCUGGGUGACGAGCGGCGGACGGGUGAGUAAUGUCUGGGAAACUGCCUGAUGGAGGGGGAUAACUACUGGAAACGGU